Molecule: long non-coding RNA, 348 nt
Organism: Mytilus californianus (California mussel)
Lineage: Eukaryota; Metazoa; Mollusca; Bivalvia; Mytilida; Mytilidae
Exons: 3
Source: RefSeq, a predicted model, not a curated record
ACUACAAAGGUUCAUGUGCUAUAAAGUGCAGCUGGCAAGGCAUAUCACGUAGAACAGUCGUCCCUAAUUCUGGGAAUCGAGCAACAACGAGCAGUGAUGACCCGACAGUAAUUGUUAUAAGAAAUAGAGGCAUAAUAAUAGCAACUUUUGAAUGUUUUGUAAGAUCUGGAAGUUUCGUUGUUCUUCGACGUGAAAUCCAAGGAAACAACACACAUUCGCAAUACCAAUGUAGAAAAGAUGAGAGAGAUGAUAAACCUUUUUUUGCCGAAACAUUGAUCGUAUCACCCUGGAAAACAUUCCGUGAUUAUCCACAUGUGUGUGACGUUUGUAUUGGUACUGAUCUGAAAA